Molecule: long non-coding RNA, 317 nt
Filed under: Marmota monax (woodchuck)
Lineage: Eukaryota; Metazoa; Chordata; Mammalia; Rodentia; Sciuridae
Source: RNAcentral
GAGCCACAGCCCUGAGGACAGGGACCUGCUAGGGGAGGCCCCAGAAGAACAGAGCAAGGAGUUUUGGGAGACUUCAGCUCACAGCUCAUGACUCAGGUUACUCAGGCCCUGCCCGCCAAGGGACACCCUUCUGGCAGGGACCUGGACAGGUGUCAAGCACCCAGGGAGGAUGUAAGCCCUCUGUCUCCUGUGGCUCCUCUUCCCAUUAUAAUCACCCAUACACGGGGACACAUGAGAGCUUCCUGUCCACUUGAUGACCAGUGGAGCCUCUGAUGACCUGAGUGGGGCAGGGCCUCAGAGUUCUGCCAAGAGCCCUG